CCUACGGGUGGCAGCAGUGAGGAAUAUUGGUCAAUGGGCGCAGGCCUGAACCAGCCAAGUCGCGUGAGGGAAGACUGCCCUAUGGGUUGUAAACCUCUUUUAUAAGGGAAUAAUAAUGACUACGUGUAGUCAGAUGCGUGUACCUUAUGAAUAAGCAUCGGCUAUCUCGGUGCCAGCAGCCGCGGUAAUCCGGGGGAUGCGAGCGUUAUCCGGGUUUAUUGGGUUAAAGGGGUGCGUAGGGGGUAUUUUAAGUUAGUGGUAAAACGUCGGGGCUACACCCUGAUUGGCCAUUAAAACUGGAGUACUAGAGUACAGAAGAGGUAGGCGGAAUAAGUUGUGUAGCGGUGAAAUGCUUAGAUAUAACGUAGAACCCCGAUAGCGAAGGCAGCUUACCAGACUGUAACUGACGCUGAAGCACGAGAGCGUGGGUAGCGAACAGGAUUAGAUACCCCGGUAGUC
This 459-nucleotide ribosomal RNA is filed under the name uncultured bacterium. RNAcentral describes it as "partial 16S ribosomal RNA". It matches the Rfam family "Bacterial small subunit ribosomal RNA", at positions 338 to 795 of the family's 1533-position model. The record is from RNAcentral.